GGCGGACGGCUGAUUAACACGUGGGUGACCUGCCCUCGAGCGGGGGAUAACUGCCCGAAAGGGUGGCUAAUACCGCAUGACAUCCUGCCUUUGAACAGGUGGACAUCAAAGCUGGGGAUCGCAAGACCUGGCGCUCGAGGAGGGGCCCGCGUCCGAUUAGCUAGUUGGUGAGGUAACGGCUCACCAAGGCUCCGAUCGGUAUCCGGCCUGAGAGGGCGGACGGACACACUGGGACUGAGACACGGCCCAGACUCCUACGGGAGGCAGCAGUGGGGAAUUGUUCGCAAUGGGCGCAAGCCUGAGAGACGCAACGCCGCGUGGAGGAUGAAGUUUUUCGGAACGUAAACUCCUGUCGAGCGGGACGAACACCGCGCGCGUGAAUAGCUUUUGCGGCUGACGGUACCGCUAAAGGAAGCCCCGGCUAAC
Molecule: ribosomal RNA, 426 nt
Filed under: uncultured Paenibacillus sp.
Lineage: Bacteria; Bacillati; Bacillota; Bacilli; Caryophanales; Paenibacillaceae
Description: bacterial SSU rRNA
Rfam family: Bacterial small subunit ribosomal RNA
Source: RNAcentral